RNAcentral lists this ribosomal RNA (465 nucleotides) under uncultured bacterium. RNAcentral describes it as "partial 16S ribosomal RNA". It matches the Rfam family "Bacterial small subunit ribosomal RNA", at positions 28 to 507 of the family's 1533-position model. The record is from RNAcentral.
GACGAACGCUGGCGGCGUGCUUAACACAUGCAAGUCGAACGGAAAGGCCCCUUUGGGGGUACUCGAGUGGCGCACGGGUGAGUAACACGUGAGUAACCUGCCCUUGACUUCGGGAUAACUUCAGGAAACUGGGGCUAAUACCGGAUAGGAAUCCUUGCUGCAUGGUGGGGGUUGGAAAGCUUCGGCGGUUUUGGAUGGACUCGCGGCUUAUCAGCUUGUUGGUGGGGUAGUGGCUUACCAAGGCUUUGACGGGUAGCCGGCCUGAGAGGGGGACCGGCCACAUUGGGACUGAGAUACGGCCCAGACUCCUACGGGAGGCAGCAGUGGGGAAUAUUGCACAAUGGGCGGAAGCCUGAUGCAGCAACGCCGCGUGCGGGAUGACGGCCUUCGGGUUGGAAACCGCUUUCAGCAGGGGCGAAGCUUGUGGUGACGGUACCUGCAGAAGAAGCACCGGCUAACUACGUG